GGGAGACCGACAGUGGAAGGGGAAGCCAGAGAUAAAAGGAUUGUAGAGAACAUGAUGAGAGAUGGAGACUUGUUGAGUGAUGCCCCUUAUGUGCCUUAUUUUAGUCUUCAUCCUCAACAAAAGUCUCCUUUUGGUGGUCCUCUUGUGAGUAGAGUCUCUCUGCGAUCACCAGACCACUCAUCCUCUUCCAGUUCAUUCUCAAAUGGGUUUUGUUCACCCCAGUGCGUUUCGCCAUAUGCUGAAAGAGAAAACAGGGUUGCAGAGAACAUAAAGAAAGAUGGAGAGUUGUUUAAUGAUGCCCCUAAUGUGUCAUAUCUUGGUCCUCUCCGUCAACAAAAGCUUUCUUCCAGUGGUACUCCCGCCGGUAGAGCUUCUCUGCAAUCGCCAGAGCCUUCCCCUUCUUCGAGUUUAUUCCCAAAUGAGUUUUGCUCACCUGAGCAUGGUUCACUGUAUGCUAUUCCUUUAUCUGAGGAGGCUAAGUAUCGCACACUAGGUUCCCAGUACUGGAAUGAAACGUGUUUGGAUUCUAAGUCACCUAAUCAUGAUUCUUAUAAGAUCAAUAGGAGGUUGGUGGAUGAAAUGGGUUUGUCUCAAAGUUUCUGUGGAAUGAGUGUUAGGGAGGACCAAAAUGGUGGUGCUAAAAUGAAGGGAUUUGAGAUAGACUCGGAUGGAUUUGGGUUUGGCUCCGACGAAGGUUCUAUGGAUGGGAGCGUACAAUACAAUGUAAAAAAAUAUGGCUCAUAUAGGGGCUUCAACAAUGGGGCUUUUGGUAAUGAAGGUUUUCAAUCCUCUCCCCAGGGAGUUUCUUGCAGUACUUAUGAUGAUUUGAACUAUGCAUUCAAUGGAUUGCAAAGUGGAUUCGGAAAGGAUGCUCAUGAUUCAAUGAGCUCUUCUUUUGCUCAUAAUCAGUCCAAUGAUUUCUGUUCUGGCUCUGCUUGGUAUGAUAAUCAAAGUGAUUAUCUAUUGGGGAGGAGAAAGGAACAGGGAAGAAGUAGGAGCGAUUGGGGGAUUCAAUCGAAGAACCAAUUUAUUACUGGGCCUUGCCUUGAUGAUCCUCCUAGUUUACCCCCGCAUCCCAAAAUGGCUUCUAAUGGAGGCAGGGGUUUCAUGGAGUCAAUGGGUGCUCCUCAGUCGACGAAUCCCGUGUUGGAUUUGGAUGUUUAUCACCCACUGUAUAGAAGAAGUUUGAUGUUAAAAGAAAGGAUCAGAGCAAUCACAAACAAUGGGCUUUCUCAUUCUCUAAUGCCUGUGAAUGGUGCGGGAGAUGCGAAAACCUUUAGCUGUGAGGACAGUUUCAUAAUACAAGGAAAGGGUAAUCAUGCUUGCUACAAAGGACGUGAACCUUUAAGCAGUGACAAAAAGAAUUCCUUCAAUGAGACUUCUGUGCAAAACCUUCGUGGGAAAUGCAUUAAACUAGAUAGUGCCAUCCUCCAUGGAGGAAGUUGCGAAAAUGAUCAGAGGCUAAACAAUGAUAACCUGUUGCGACUGGUUCCAAGUAUUAAUUUCUUGAGUGAGGUACAGGGUAAUAUAUACUUAAUGGCACAGGAUCAGAAUGGUUGCCGGUGGUUACAAAAGAUUUUUGAUGAGGGAACAAGCCAAGAUGUUGAAAUAAUAUUUAACGGAAUAAUUUAUCAUGUUGUUGAACUUAUGUUGAAACCAUUCGCUAAUUAUGUCAUCCAGAAGUUCUUGGAUGUAUGCAAUGAAGAACAAAGGUUGCAGAUUGUGUUCAGGGUGACUGAAGAACAAGGACAGCUUGUUGAGAUUUGCUUGAACACAUAUGGCACACGAGCAGCGCAGAAGUUGAUUGAGACUCUCAAAACCAGGCAGCAGAUUUCACUUGUGGUAUCAUCCCUGAAACCUGGUUUUCUUGAUCUUGUCAAGGAUCAAAAUGGAAAUCAUGUGAUACAGCGUUGCUUGCAAUGCCUUAGCAAUGAAGAUAACAAGUUUAUUCUUGAUGCUGCUGCAAAGUUCUGUGUUGAAAUCGCAACUCAUCGACAUGGAUGCUGUGUUAUGCAACGUUGUAUUACACACUCCACUGGGAAACAUCGAGACAAAUUAAUAACUGAAAUUUCAAAAAAUUCACUUUUCCUUGCUCAAGAUCCUUUUGGAAAUUAUGUUGUGCAAUAUAUUAUAGAGCAAAAGAGCCCGUCUGCCAUUGUCAAUUUGCUUUCUCAAUUUAAAGGGCACUACGUACACCUCUCCAUGCAGAAAUUUAGCAGUCAUGUGGUUGAAAAGUGCCUUAAUCAUUUGGACGAGAGCCAGGAACAAAUUAUUCGUGAAUUGAUCUCAGUGUCACGCUUUGAACAGCUAUUGCAAGAUCCAUUUGCCAACUAUGUCAUUCAAUCUGCCCUGGCAGUUACUAAGGGUUCUCUUCAUUCUAUACUGGCUGAUGCAGUCCGACCCCAUGUGAUUUUACGUACCAAUCCAUACAGUAAGAGGAUUUUCUCAAGGAAUCUCCUGAAGAAAUAAUGUAAUACUGUGGUAAGUGUUGUUCUUCUGUCAGUAUUACAACCUUGUUCACUACUAAUAAAUAGCCUCUGAAGUGCAGGCAACUAAAUGUAGAAUGUCAUCAGAAUUUGCUGCUGAUAUCCUGGUUCGAAAUUUCAAAACUCUCUGCAUGAGUCUGAAGAAUAGAAAUUGAAGUUUACUUCUGUUUAUGAUGCAGGUAUGAACUUGUAUUAUUCUGUUAGUCCUGUUGUUGUCUUGUGUAUCAAACUUCAAAUGUAAUUUUGCACGGUCAGAAACUUGAUUAUCUGUUUCCAAGUUUUGUAAUACGUGAUACCAGCAUAUUUUUCUCCAUCAUGUUCCAUUGUUUCUCAAGUUGAAAAUGCACAGAAAUUUGUCUGUCAUUUUAGCAUGGCGUAGCUUGGUUACAUUUGAAAGAAAAAGCUGUUUUAAACUGUUGAUGUUUCAAAUCGAAAUUGGGUGAUUUUAAA
Molecule: unclassified non-coding RNA, 2936 nt
Filed under: Hevea brasiliensis (rubber tree)
Lineage: Eukaryota; Viridiplantae; Streptophyta; Magnoliopsida; Malpighiales; Euphorbiaceae
Source: RNAcentral